UGGGGAAUAUUGGACAAUGGGCGAAAGCCUGAUCCAGCGACGCCGCGUGGGUGAAGAAGGCCUUCGGGUUGUAAAGCCCUUUAAGCCGGGACGAAAAAAUCGAACCUAACACGUUCGGUCUUGACGGUACCGGAAGAAUAAGCACCGGCUAACUCUGUGCCAGCAGCCGCGGUAAUACAGAGGGUGCGAGCGUUAAUCGGAUUUACUGGGCGUAAAGCGUGUGUAGGUGGCCGCAUAAGUCGAUUGUGAAAUCCCUGGGCUCAACCCGGGAAUGGCAGUCGAUACUGCGUGGCUAGAGUUCGGUAGAGGACGGCAGAAUUCCCGGUGUAGCGGUGAAAUGCGUAGAGAUCGGGAGGAAUACCGAUGGCGAAGGCAACCGUCUGGGCCUGAACUGACACUGAGACACGAAAGCGUGGGGAGCAAACAGGAUUAGAUACCCGGGUAGUCC
RNAcentral lists this ribosomal RNA (448 nucleotides) under uncultured bacterium. RNAcentral's name for it is "bacterial SSU rRNA". It matches the Rfam family "Bacterial small subunit ribosomal RNA", at positions 355 to 796 of the family's 1533-position model. The record is from RNAcentral.